Molecule: ribosomal RNA, 259 nt
Filed under: uncultured Glomus
Lineage: Eukaryota; Fungi; Glomeromycota; Glomeromycetes; Glomerales; Glomeraceae
Description: partial 18S ribosomal RNA
Rfam family: Eukaryotic small subunit ribosomal RNA
Source: RNAcentral
AAGCUCGUAGUUGAAUUUCGGGGUUAGUGGGUUGGUCAUGCCUCUGGUAUGUACUGGUCUCACUGAUUCCUCCUUCCUUAUGAACCGUAAUGCCAUUAAUUUGGUGUUGCGGGGAAUUUGGACUGUUACUUUGAAAAAAUUAGAGUGUUUAAAGCAAGCUAACGCUUGAAUACAUUAGCAUGGAAUAAUGAAAUAGGACGUUCGAUCUUAUUUUGUUUGGUUUCUAGGAUUGACGUAAUGAUUAAUAGGGAUAGUUGGG